RNAcentral lists this ribosomal RNA (533 nucleotides) under uncultured bacterium. RNAcentral's name for it is "bacterial SSU rRNA". It matches the Rfam family "Bacterial small subunit ribosomal RNA", at positions 153 to 717 of the family's 1533-position model. The record is from RNAcentral.
GAAACGGAGAGUAAUACCUUAUGUGCCCUACGGGGGAAAGAUUUAUCGCCAAAGGAUUAGCCCGCGUUAGAUUAGGUAGUUGGUGGGGUAAUGGCCUACCAAGCCUACGAUCUAUAGCUGGUUUGAGAGGAUGAUCAGCAACACUGGGACUGGGACACGGCCCAGACUCCUACGGGAGGCAGCAGUGGGGAAUCUUGGACAAUGGGCGCAAGCCUGAUCCAGCCAUGCCGCGUGAGUGACGAAGGCCCUAGGGUCGUAAAGCCCUUUCGCCAGGGAUGAUAAUGACAGUACCUGGUAAAGAAACCCCGGCUAACUCCGUGCCAGCAGCCGCGGUAAUACGGAGGGGGUUAGCGUUGUUCGGAAUUACUGGGCGUAAAGCGCGCGUAGGCGGACUAUUAAGUCAGGGGUGAAAUCCCGGGGCUCAACCCCGGAACUGCCUUUGAUACUGGUAGUCUUGAGUUCGAGAGAGGUGAGUGGAAAUUCCNGAGUGUAGAGGUGAAAUUCGUAAAUAUUCGGAAGGAACACCAGUGGCG